This 433-nucleotide ribosomal RNA is filed under the name uncultured bacterium. RNAcentral's name for it is "partial 16S ribosomal RNA". It matches the Rfam family "Bacterial small subunit ribosomal RNA", at positions 29 to 507 of the family's 1533-position model. The record is from RNAcentral.
AACGAACGCUGGCGGCAUGCCUAACACAUGCAAGUCGAACGAGACCUUCGGGUCUAGUGGCGCACGGGUACGUAACGCGUGGGAACCUGCCCUUAGGUUCGGAAUAACUCCCCGAAAGGGGUGCUAAUACCGGAUAAUGUCUUCGGACCAAAGAUUUAUCGCCUUUGGAUGGGCCCGCGUUGGAUUAGCUAGUUGGUAGGGUAAAAGCCUACCAAGGCGACGAUCCAUAGCUGGUCUGAGAGGAUGAUCAGCCACACUGGGACUGAGACACGGCCCAGACUCCUACGGGAGGCAGCAGUGGGGAAUAUUGGACAAUGGGCGAAAGCGUGAUCCAGCAAUGCCGCGUGAGUGAUGAAGGCCUUAGGGUUGUAAAGCUCUUUUACCCGGGAUGAUAAUGACAGUACCGGGAGAAUAAGCACCGGCUAACUCCGUG